Sapajus apella (tufted capuchin) is the source of this 7149-nucleotide RNA transcript. It is a transcript of the gene named solute carrier family 2, facilitated glucose transporter member 3-like, with no coding region annotated. The transcript is spliced from 2 exons. The record is from RefSeq and is a predicted model, not a curated record. Lineage: Eukaryota; Metazoa; Chordata; Mammalia; Primates; Cebidae.
AUUAGGGCCAUCGGGACGCCGAAGGUCACUCCAUCUCUGAUCUUCACCAUUACGGUUGCUACAGUCGGCUCCUUCCAGUUUGGCUACAACACUGGGGUCAUCAAUGCCGCUUAGAUGAUCAUAAGGGAAUUUAUCAACACUUUGAAGGACAAGGCAAAUACUCCUCCCUCUGAGAUCUUGUUCGUGUCCCUCUGGUCUCUGUCUGUGGCCAUUUUCUCCAUUGGUGGUAUGAUUGGCUCCUUUUCUGUUAAAUUCUUUGUCAACCGCUUUGGCAGGCACAAUUCAAUGCUUAUCAUCAACCUGGUGGUUGUCACUAGAGGCUGCCUUACGGGAUUGUUUAAAGUAGCUGAGUCAGUUGAAAUGCUGAUCCUGGGCCACUUGGUUAUUGGCCUCUUCUGUGGACUCUGCACAGGUUUUGUGCUCAUAUGUAUCUCACCUACUGUGCUGCGGGUGGCUUUGGCACUCUCAACCAGCUAGGCAUUGUUAUCGGAAUUCUGGCAAACCAGAUCUUUAGUCUGGAAUUCAUCCUGGGGUCUGAAGAGCUAUGGCUCAGGCUAUGAGGCUUUACCAUCUUUCCUGCUCUCCUACAAAGUGCAGCCCUUCCAUUUUGCCCUGAAAGUCCCACAUUCUUGCUCAUUCAGAGAAAAGAAGAGGAGAAUGCUAAGGAGAUCCUCCUUAGGAUGCAUCCCACGACAUCUAGGAGAUGAAAGAUGAGAGUGCAAGGACGGCACAAGAAAAGCAAGUCACCGUGCUGGAGCUCUUUAGCGUAUCCAGCUACCGACAGCCCAUCAUCAUUUCCAUCGUGCUCAGCUCUCUCAGCAGCUCUCUGGAAUCUGCUGUGUUCUGUUACCCAACAGGAAUCUUCAAGGGUGCAGGUGUUCAAGAGCCCAUCUAUGCCAAUGUCGGUGUGGGUGUGGUUAACACUGUCUUCACUGUAGUUUCCCUAUUUCUGGUGGAAAGGGCAGGAAGAAGGACUUUAGAUAUGACAGACUUUGGAGGGAUGACUUUUUGUUCCAUCCUCACGACUGUUUCGUUGUUAUUAAAGGACGAGUAUAAUGGGAUAAGCUUUGUCUGUAUUGGGGCUAUCUUGGUCUUUGUGGCCUUCUUUGAAAUUGGGCCAGGCCCCAUUCCCUGAUUUAUUGUGGCUGAACUCUUCAACCAGGGCCCUGGUCCAACUGUGAUGGUAGUGGCCAGCUGCUCCAAUCGGACCUCCAACUUCCUAGCCUUCUGCUGCUUACUGUUUAGGAGUCUAUGUUUUUAUUAUCUUCACCAGCUUCCUCAUUACCUUCUUGAUCUUUAUCGUCUUCAGAGUCUCUGAGACCUGUCACAGGACUUUUGAGGAUAUCGCACAGGACUUUGAAGGGCAGGCACAUUAUGCGAAUAGAUCCAGAAGGACCGCAUCGUGGAGAUGAACAGCAACCAGCCUGCUAAGGAGACCACCACCAUUGUCUAAGUCAUGCCUCCUUCCACCUCCCGCUCAUCAUGGGAAAGCCACCUCUCCCUGAACAAGGGAGGUACUCAUCAGGAUGAACCCAGGACUGCUUCUGAAUGCUGCUACUCAAUUCCUUUCUCCCACAAGGCUGGGGCUUGUUAGAUUUUCAAUGGCUUUUUAAAUAUUUCAUUUCUUGGACAUUCUCUUUCACUUAGGAGAGACCAAGUGAACCUACCUUCAUUUCAGGAGGGAUUGGCCACUUGGCAUAUGACAGCUUUGCCAGCUCUUCCUCUCUUGGAUUCUAAUAUUGCCCCAUUAGAGGAUAUGGGGGAGGAAGGGUAAGGUACAGUUGCCCCAACUUCAGACUUACCAGGAAGCAGAUACACAAGUGUGGAAAGCAGAGGGGGUUUAUGUAAGAGCACCUUCCUCAUUUCCAUACAGCUGUACACAGGAAAUUAACUUGAGUUUUAUUUAUUUUGCCUUCUGGUUUAAUUACAUAUAUUUAUUUUUUUAAGUGUACUUUUGCCAAGCAAUGAAAACAUAAGAAAAUUGGGGUGAAAGGGAGGUGUUUAAAAGACAUCAUAGAGUAGAAGAUUUGAUGCUUGAGUGGUAAGGUGCAAUAAGAAGAAUUUAGGGAGAAAUGCAAUUUGUUAUUGGAGGGUUUAUGAUACGGAGCCUGAGGUCUGCAUGUUGCCUCUUAACAAUUUCUGUCCUUCAGAUGGAAACUCUUAAGUUUAAUUUCUCAGAAAAGUAAUAUGCCUAUAUAAUAAAGCUACCGAUUUCUUUUGAAACUUUUAAAUUUAAGAUUAUAGUUUAUAUGUAGUAUUACUUGAAAUCUAAAAUUGUUAACUAAGAUGGGCAUUGUAGUUAAUCACAGUUGAUGGGCUCUAAUUUUGGAUGGAGUCCAGGGAAGGGAAAGUUAUUUCUAGAAAGCCUGUUCCUUCUUACUGGACCAAAAAACUCCUUCCCCUUGUAGUAGACUCAUUACUUUUUAAGUAAUCCCACCAUCCCUCUGGUGGGAGAGCCAUCCAAAUGAGAAAUCCAAAAUAAUUAGUUCUUGGUAGAGGUUCAUUAUUUCUCCAUUUUGUUCUUUAGGAGAUUUUAGGUGUUGAUUUUAUUUUAUUUUAACCCAUACCUUUAAAGGAAUUCCAAAAAGAAUGUUUAUGGCUAACUUGGAAUUUGACACCUCAGCUCUGGGAGAGGAUUUUUUUCCUGAACGAUUAUUAUCUAAAGCAUGUUGUUGCUUCAGGGUCACGGCAUGCUUGUCUAUGUCUGUUACCAUGCCACCAUGGUCCUGUGCUGAGUGCCCUUAGGGGACUUGAAUCUUUCCAGUAGGCCACGUUGGAGACAGUAUGAGUCAAUGUGCAGUGUAGCCCAUACUGCAAGGAUGAAUGUAUGUGCAGUGUCACUUUGCUCUGGGUGGCAGUAGGUUAUUGUUGACUUAUUUUCUCUGUGUUUGUUCCUACAGCCCCUUUUUCGUAUGUUGAUUGAUCUCCUUUUCCCUUCUUGGUGCUUACACAUCUCAGACUCUUUAGCUGAACCCUUGCCAAUAACAGUAUUUUGGUUUUCAGUUCUCACUGUUCCUUCUGGUCAUUGAGCCUUUGAAUAAAAAUGCAUAUAGCUAUGCAGUGGGGUUUAGCUGGAAAAGGUGACUUUUUUCCAGCUUCACCUCUACUUCUGGCUCCUCAAACAAUGGUUGGGCAGUAAGGCAUGGAAGUUGUUUUCUCGUUUCUCACUGACCAGAUUGUGAAUAUUUCCACAUGAAUUUUCUAUUAUUAAUGUUACUCUGGUUCUUUGUUUUAAAAUAAAAAUUCUGAAUAUACACAAUAAAAAAGACAUAAAAUAUUAUCACUCCCAUUUUACAGAUUAAAAAACUGAGAUUUAAAGCAGUUAUGUACUACUCACAGCCACACAACUAGGAUGAGGCAGAGCUAAAACUCAGCUCUGGUUCACUGCCAAGCCUGUGGUCUUAGAGACAUAUGUCAGGACUUGGUGUCAUCAGGGGAAUGGGGAGAGUGGUUCCAUUCUCCAAGCCCUCCCCUAAAGAAGUUUCUUAUAUUUUAUAAUGGUCAUACCGUAGACCGUCUUACCUCCUACCUGGGCUGAUUACAAUAAUCUGAAAGUGCUCUGUUUGAGGGGCAAUGGUAGUUACUGUGGAGAAGGGCUUCAAAGGAUAUUGAUGGUGGUGCCAGUUUACCUUCUGGACUGUGGCUGUAGCUGCAUGAUGUUGGGUUAAUGGUUAAUCUGUUCUUGUGUGAGUCAGCUAAUGCCCCUCCCAAGUCAUGUAAUGAGUUAACCCAAUUAAAAGACAUCUGCCCAACUAAUCUGAAUGUCAGACCUGAGUGUCAGCUCCUAUUUUAUACUCUAUAAAGGAAGAGGAAUUUUCACUUACUACUUGAAAUCUUCAAAUAAUGCAAUUGAUCUUUGUUUUCAGCUAACAGAAAGACUGUUUCCCUGAUAUUGUGUGUGUGCGUGUGUGUGUGUGUGUGUGUGUGUGUGUGUGUGUGUGUAUGAGACGGUGUUAUUUAACUUAAUGUUGACAUCAACUCUGUAGAAUUGUAUAUAUGCAGAUAAGUAGCUGGAAGCUCAGAAAGGUGAAGCCACUUGUUCAAGUUCAUGGAGUCAAUUUUCCUUUUACAACUCCAGGACAAUAAUUAUUAGGGUGGUUUGUUUAGUUUGUAUCCUAGUGGAUAACUGCCCUUCUUAGUGAUGAUGAUGAGAACCUGAAUAUCUCUAAGGGGACAUUAUUAUUCUGGACGUGUGAGACAUUGAAAAGAACAGGAGCUUUGAAUCUAGGUGUGUUCUGUUAAAAACUUCAGUUCCUGCCCUGCAAUAGUGUGAACACUGGCAAAUCACCUAGUCUCACCGCAGAAGGUGAUUGUGAGAAUAAAAGCAGAUGGCUGGGAGGUAGGGGCACUUAAAUACACAUUGGUCCUUUUCAGCACCUCAUUGCUGGAACUUGAGUGGGCAUCUCCAGCCUUCUCAAGCCAAUUGGUUAAAUACUCAGUGCAUUCUUGAGAGACAUUUUAAUUUAUUUUAAUUAAGUCAAACACCUGCCAUGUGGCAUUUUUAGGAAAAUUGAGGGAAGGUCUUGUGAAACUAGGCAAAUCAUAAAGCUUCCACAGGUUGGGAUUCAACAGACCAACCAGUGAGGCCCAUUACCCAGGAGGCACUAGACCAGGUGCCAUGAGCAUUCCAGGGAUGAACAGAAAAGCCUGCCAUACUGGAACUGAAAAAAAUCUGGUCAGGGAGAUAAAGCACAAACAGAUGGAAAGACAAACAGCAAUAGAAGGCAUUAAAGGACACAUUUCCAAGGCAAUAAAUAUGGUGACAUAGGCAAUAAAUAUGGUGUGAAUUCGGGACAGAGAAAGGGACCACUUAGGCCCCCAAAACCAUUCCUGACUCAUUUCCUAUGCUUUCUCCUUCUGUCCCUUCAUAGCCCUGUGGUUUUCUCUUAGAGUUACCGGUGCGCUUAUCUCUCUGUAACAAGGUGGAGAAAAUAUCACCAUUGCUUAACAGCUGGUGCCAGAUUUCUUCCUGAAAGAAAAUUAGGUGUAAUAGAAUAAAUAGGUUGGAAAAUGCUUGAGGUGGAAAGUUGAGACCAAGGAUCCAGCUGUUAGAGGACAGCCAACUCACCGUGCAUACUGCAGGGAGGUUUUGGAAAUUUUGGGAGGCAAUCUGUAAUGUAGAACAUGAGGGCAAAAGGAGGGAGGGGAGAGGGAAAAUGGAGAAAGCAGCUACUGGGGCAGCAGAGCUGUGAUUCCUACCUACCUCCAUCUUCAGGGAUGGCUGCCAAACCCAGGGAACCUUGUGUGAAUGCCUUCACUGCAACAUGAUGCAAAACAGAGUAGAAAUGAGAAGGUGAAAGUGUCCCUCCAGAAGUUAGCUCAUUCUUGAAAGGGCUUUACACAUCCACAGUCCAGGCAAUGUGUUGAGAGUUCAAACCAAGUUUACUCAGAUCUUUCAGUGACAGAAGGGCCUCAUCUGAUUUCUGAGUUUUAUCUCCAAUUCUUUUCUUUCCCCCUUGACCUUGCCCUCUUCUCCAAAGCUUACUUCGUACAGUGUCUGAUGUAUAGUAAGUGCUCUAUAAAUAUCAGUCAUGCUGAAUCAAAUAUAAAUAUUGUAUUAUACAUGGUUUCUGCUGUCAUGGUACCUAAAAUUGAGGGAAGACAACACACAUGCAUUUCAGACACAAAAAUAAACCUAAUCUUAACAAUACUGGGAAGGAUAUAAAUGUCAAUUAAAUAGGCCCAGCACUUUCCUGCCUCUUUGAUCUUUCAGUGUCCUUUGCAGUUCGGUUCACAUUUCACACGCUCCAUGAAGUCUGUCUGGAUUUUCAGUGAUGUUUCCUGUCUCUGAAAUCUUAUGACAUUUAUGUCUGUAUCAGCCAUUUGAUGCUUGAUUAUCUAUUUUUCAGAUGGAUGUCUUGCCUUUUCCUCUACACACUAGAGGAAGGGUAGCCACCCCUGGCAAGGGCCUAGUAUAGUCCCCUAUACAUGAAGCUGUUCAGUUGAUUGUUACUGAUCAUGUGUAUCCUGCAUCAUGUUAUCAAAAACUAACACAGUGCUUGGAACAUACUUGUACUGAAUAAGUAUUUGCUGAAUUGAGUUAAAGUGUUUGAUGCCAUAGACCUCUGAGAAUAUAUAAUUUCUAUGUAUCACACUCCUAGCAGGAUAAGAGAAAAUUAGAACUUGAGAAGAAGUCACAUCUAAUUCUUUUCUACUUUUAUUUCAUUUUGUUUCUAUUUUUUUAGAGAUGAGGUCUCACUCUGUCACCCAUGCUGGGGUGCAGUGGCACCAUCAUAGCUCACUACAACUUUGAACUCCUGGGUUCAAGCAAUCCUCCCACCUCAGCUUCCAAGUAGUUGGAGCUACAGCUGCAUACCACUGCGUAUGGCUAAUUUUUUUUUUUUUUUUCACUAGAGAGGUGGUCUCGCUAUGUUGCCACACUUGUCUUGAACUUCUAGCCUCAAGUGAUCCUCUUGCCUUGGCCUCCCAAAGUGCUGGGAUUACCAGCAGGAGCCACUGUGCCUGGCCAAUUAUUGUUCAGCUACAAUUUAUUUUCCUAUUGCUUUUUGGAAUGUAAUUUAAACUUUACACUUCAGUUACCCCAUUUUUCAAAUGCAUACAUCAUUUUGUGGCCAUUAACUUGUACACGGACACGGUAAAGUUAAAAAAUAAAGAUGCAUAGAAUUUUGAUGCUGAUAGGGAUCAUAAAAUAAUGUGAUCCAAACUAAGGAGCAAUCUGAGCUCAGAGACAUUAAAAAGACUGCUCUAAGUUUUUUUUUUUUUUAAUCUAUCGAAGAGAUCAUCCAGCAUGUAGUGUCCUGCUUUCUAACCCAGCAGUCUUUCCAGCACCCCAGGCUUGGUUGUCAGAAUAGCAUUUGCUCAUAAGAUGCUUUAAUUAUUAAUACAGUAUACUAAAUCCCAGGAGUAGAAUAAGCCUCGUUAUUAUGGCUAGUAAGUCAGCCCAAAGCAAUCUGAGAUUCCUGUAAAACUGAAUGGAUUUUGAAGUAAAGCAUCUUCGGGCACACUGCCCUCAGAGGGGGCCAUCAUCUCAUUUACCUAUUUAAAAAAAAAAAAACAUAAAUACGUGUUCUGUAUGGAUGUUCAUUAUGUCUUAAGCUUUAUUGAUUCUGUUAUGUUGCUCUUAAUUACAGAAACCACAAAAGUCUUUAAUUACAUUAAAGCUGUAAUAAAUAAGCUUAGUAACACUUA